AUAAGACUUCUGCUGUUCCAUGAUGGAUCUGCUUUUCCUGGAUGAGGUAUACCAGCUGAGGUGCCAGCUCACUGAACUCUGGAUCAUCCUCAUCUGGAGACAGUCUGUGUUUACAGAGAGAUCCACUUACAUUGCUUGCCACCACACUGAGGCUCUGUAAUACAGAAAUUCUGAUAAUCCCUCCUUGCCUUGUCUUCUAUGAACACCAGACUGUACAGCACCCUCAUCUUUACCCACCACACACUGUGUGUUUUAGCAGCAAGGGAGGGAUGUGGGGAUCCACAGAGGUGCACACUGGAAA
Molecule: long non-coding RNA, 301 nt
Organism: Psammomys obesus (fat sand rat)
Lineage: Eukaryota; Metazoa; Chordata; Mammalia; Rodentia; Muridae
Exons: 3
Source: RefSeq, a predicted model, not a curated record